AAAAAAAACAAAAGGGUGAAGGGUGAACACAAAAAAAACAAAAGGGUGAAGGGUGAACACAAAAAAAAACAAAAGGGUGCAAAAACAAAAGGGUGAAGGGUGAACACAAAAAAAAAAACAAAAGGGUGAAGGGUGAACACAAAAAAAACAAAAGGGUGAAGGGUGAACACAAAAAAAAACAAAAGGGUGCCCAGAGAGAUCUCGCUCAAUCUCCUGCCUACGUAUCUCAUCUGGUAUGAGAAUCAGGGCGACGUAGUUUCCCUUAACAGGGGAAAACUCUC
This 281-nucleotide long non-coding RNA is filed under the name Lathyrus oleraceus (garden pea). Its description in RNAcentral is "Pisum sativum (pea) long non-coding RNA (PSAT_LNC029604)". Lineage: Eukaryota; Viridiplantae; Streptophyta; Magnoliopsida; Fabales; Fabaceae. The record is from RNAcentral.